RNAcentral lists this ribosomal RNA (370 nucleotides) under Microbacterium sp. PM0_5. RNAcentral's name for it is "bacterial SSU rRNA". It matches the Rfam family "Bacterial small subunit ribosomal RNA", at positions 164 to 548 of the family's 1533-position model. Lineage: Bacteria; Bacillati; Actinomycetota; Actinomycetes; Micrococcales; Microbacteriaceae. The record is from RNAcentral.
UAAUACUGGAUAUGAGCUCCUUCCGCAUGGUGGGGGUUGGAAAGAUUUUUCGGUCUGGGAUGGGCUCGCGGCCUAUCAGCUUGUUGGUGAGGUAAUGGCUCACCAAGGCGUCGACGGGUAGCCGGCCUGAGAGGGUGACCGGCCACACUGGGACUGAGACACGGCCCAGACUCCUACGGGAGGCAGCAGUGGGGAAUAUUGCACAAUGGGCGGAAGCCUGAUGCAGCAACGCCGCGUGAGGGAUGACGGCCUUCGGGUUGUAAACCUCUUUUAGCAGGGAAGAAGCGAAAGUGACGGUACCUGCAGAAAAAGCGCCGGCUAACUACGUGCCAGCAGCCGCGGUAAUACGUAGGGCGCAAGCGUUAUCCGG